This 255-nucleotide ribosomal RNA is filed under the name Listeria monocytogenes. Its description in RNAcentral is "partial 16S ribosomal RNA". It matches the Rfam family "Bacterial small subunit ribosomal RNA", at positions 535 to 789 of the family's 1533-position model. Lineage: Bacteria; Bacillati; Bacillota; Bacilli; Caryophanales; Listeriaceae. The record is from RNAcentral.
CAAGCGUUGUCCGGAUUUAUUGGGCGUAAAGCGCGCGCAGGCGGUCUUUUAAGUCUGAUGUGAAAGCCCCCGGCUUAACCGGGGAGGGUCAUUGGAAACUGGAAGACUGGAGUGCAGAAGAGGAGAGGGGAAUUCCACGUGUAGCGGUGAAAUGCGUAGAUAUGUGGAGGAACACCAGUGGCGAAGGCGACUCUCUGGUCUGUAACUGACGCUGAGGCGCGAAAGCGUGGGGAGCAAACAGGAUUAGAUACCCUG